GACGAACGCUGGCGGCGUGCUUAACACAUGCAAGUCGAACGGAAAGGCCCUGCUUUUGUGGGGUGCUCGAGUGGCGAACGGGUGAGUAACACGUGAGUAACCUGCCCUUGACUUUGGGAUAACUUCAGGAAACUGGGGCUAAUACCGGAUAGGAGCUCCUGCUGCAUGGUGGGGGUUGGAAAGUUUCGGCGGUUGGGGAUGGACUCGCGGCUUAUCAGCUUGUUGGUGGGGUAGUGGCUUACCAAGGCUUUGACGGGUAGCCGGCCUGAGAGGGUGACCGGCAACAUUGGGACUGAGAUACGGCCCAGACUCCUACGGGAGGCAGCAGUGGGGAAUAUUGCACAAUGGGCGGAAGCCUGAUGCAGCAACGCCGCGUGCGGGAUGACGGCCUUCGGGUUGUAAACCGCUUUCGCCUGUGACGAAGCGUGAGUGACGGUAAUGGGUAAAGAAGCACCGGCUAACUACGUG
This 468-nucleotide ribosomal RNA is filed under the name uncultured bacterium. RNAcentral describes it as "partial 16S ribosomal RNA". It matches the Rfam family "Bacterial small subunit ribosomal RNA", at positions 28 to 507 of the family's 1533-position model. The record is from RNAcentral.